This 492-nucleotide ribosomal RNA is filed under the name uncultured bacterium. RNAcentral describes it as "partial 16S ribosomal RNA". It matches the Rfam family "Bacterial small subunit ribosomal RNA", at positions 29 to 507 of the family's 1533-position model. The record is from RNAcentral.
AGUGAACGCUGGCGGUAGGCCUAACACAUGCAAGUCGAACGGCAGCACAGUAAGAGCUUGCUCUUACGGGUGGCGAGUGGCGGACGGGUGAGGAAUACGUCGGAAUCUACUUUUUCGUGGGGGAUAACGUAGGGAAACUUACGCUAAUACCGCAUACGACCUACGGGUGAAAGCAGGGGAUCUUCGGACCUUGCGCGAUUGAAUGAGCCGAUGUCGGAUUAGCUAGUUGGCGGGGUAAAGGCCCACCAAGGCGACGAUCCGUAGCUGGUCUGAGAGGAUGAUCAGCCACACUGGAACUGAGACACGGUCCAGACUCCUACGGGAGGCAGCAGUGGGGAAUAUUGGACAAUGGGCGCAAGCCUGAUCCAGCCAUACCGCGUGGGUGAAGAAGGCCUUCGGGUUGUAAAGCCCUUUUGCUGGGAAAGAAAAGCAGCAGGUUAAUACCCCGCUGUUCUGACGGUACCCAAAGAAUAAGCACCGGCUAACUUCGUG